CAGCCGCCGCGGUAAUGCGAAGGGUGCAAGCGUUAAUCGGAAUUACUGGGCGUAAGCGUGCGUAGGCGGUGAGUUAAGUCUGCUGUGAAAUCCCCGGGCUCAACCUGGGAAUGGCAGUGGAUACUGGCUCGCUAGAGUGUGUCAGAGGAUGGUGGAAUUCCCGGUGUAACGGUGAAAUGCGUAGAGAUCGGGAGGAACAUCAGUGGCGAAGGCGGCCAUCUGGGACAACACUGACACUGAGGCACGAAAGCGUGGGGAGCAAACAGGAUUAGAUACCCGCGUAGUCCCUGUCUCUUAUACC
RNAcentral lists this ribosomal RNA (301 nucleotides) under uncultured bacterium. Its description in RNAcentral is "partial 16S ribosomal RNA". It matches the Rfam family "Bacterial small subunit ribosomal RNA", at positions 509 to 808 of the family's 1533-position model. The record is from RNAcentral.